This 917-nucleotide long non-coding RNA is filed under the name Olea europaea subsp. europaea. The record is from RNAcentral. Lineage: Eukaryota; Viridiplantae; Streptophyta; Magnoliopsida; Lamiales; Oleaceae.
GAAGGCUGCAUACUUUUAUACAAUACAAAGCAUAAAAGGGCUUGGGCCAGCCCAAUAUAUGAUACAAGCCCAAAAACAAAAUAAAAAGCUUGGGCAAGCCCAAAACAUAAUAUAAGCCCAAAUAAAAUACUAACUAGAUAGUCCAAACUAGACGUCCUCAUCAACUCUUCCGGGGUGGGAGAAACAAAAACUCGACUCUGUCGAGGGAAUUACUCAUAAAAGGUUGCAGUCAGUCACCCAACCAUAAGCUGAGUGGUUGGACAAACGUCUUUCGACGUCCAUAUACACGUGUGAUAGGUGGUCUGGGCAAUAGAAGAUCAUGCUGACUCCUAUAUAGCUCCAACAAGUCAGGAUCAAGUUGUUGGAGUGUUUCUUUAGGGAUCCAUGUGCAAUCAGAGUCAGGUCGUCCUACCGAACGAAUAAGAAAACGCUGAAUUUCUCCAUCAUUGGUCAACAUAAACUGUUCAUCUAAAAUAGCAUUAAUCUUAUCUUUGGGUAUUGUGACAGGGGGUGUUGAAAGUAGGGAUAACAAUAGGUUCAGGUUGAAAGUCAACAGAUGGGGGUAAAAAAGGGUCAUCAGAGGGCUUAAAAUGGUCUUUAUAAGCAACUAAAUCCUCAACAUUGAAAGUGGAGUGGUAGCUAAAAUGUGAUGGAAGAUCAAUGACAAACGCAUUUGGACCAACACACUUUAAGAUUUAAAAGGACCAGCGCUACGGGAUUGCAAUUUGGAAGCGGAUCCAGAUGGACGUCGUUCCAGUCUAAUUCGGAUCAUCACAUAAUCCCCAAUUUUAAACUCAACACGUCGUUUAUGCAAAUCAGCUCGAAGUUUAUAUGAUGCAUUACUUGCCUCUAGUUGUUUAUUGAUCUCAAUAUACAAGUCAUGAAGAUGUUGUACAAAUGCCUCAGCUGACACAGAC